AUGGCGGCGUCAUCGAUGUCAUCGUUGACGUCCUCAUAUCACACGACGGCAAUGCCGUCCUCGAACUCUGUGGUCCCGCCGUUUGAUGCUCGAAAUUUGGAAAUUAAGACAAAAUCCAUAGAGCAGACACUUAUCCCGCUAGUUACUCAGAUCACCACACUCGUCAACUAUAAAGAAAGUUACAUGGCAAGUGGGAAGCCGAAAUCUGAACGAGCAAUGAGAGCAGCGUUGAAGAUCGGAAGCGCCGUUGAGGCAGCAAUCGAACGGUUUGUGUGUGUUGGAGAGACGAUAGCCGACGAGAACGCGGAUAUUCAGCCGGAAAUGUAUGAUGCGUGUACUGAAGCUCGGCUAGCUGGUGCUUCAAUGGCCAACCUAUCAUGUGCAUGUAACGAUGAUCCCAACUCGGUGGUGGAUAAAGCUGUGCUCGUCCGAGCCAGCAGGCAGCUCUUGAGCAGUGUCACCAGAGUCCUGCUACUCGCGGAUCGGGUGCUUGUCAAGCAGGUUUUGAGGGCCGAGGAUAAGAUAGCCUUCUCCCUAUCCCGACUAGAAUCCACUCGAUCCUUCAACGAUUUCGUCAAGGUUUUUGCAGUUUUCGGCGGGGAAAUGGUCGAGUUAGCCCAUCGAAGUGGAGAUCGACAGCAUGAUUUAAAAAGUGAAAAACGAAAAGCCCAGAUGUCAAUUGCAAGAACUUCUCUGGAAAGGUUAACGAUGCUUCUACUAACCGCAUCGAAGACCUAUCUGCGGCAUCCCGAUUGUGAUUCUGCACUUCAGUGUCGAGAUGGAGUGUUUUAUCAGAUGAAGCUAUCACUUGAACUCAUUGCAAUUUGUGUUUGUGAUGGGAUUUUGACAACUGAAAAGAGCAGAUAUAUCCAGGAUGAGCCUGAUAUGCCAAUUGAUAUUGCUUUACAGCUUACUGCAAACGCAGCAAUUAAGCAAUUAACGGAAAUGCUUGAAAUGAUCCGAAUGACGGUACGAGUCGGAGCCGGGGUUCGGGAGCGGAUAGUGUCGGCCCUGGAUGCCCUCUGCCAGCUUACACAGGACUUCACAGACUCGGCCUACACACCUCAUCAUCAACGGGAACAGAUUCUCGAUUUCCUUGAAGAAUGCAGAUUCGAGAUGACAAAUCUGAUACAGCCAGAUGAGAAUGAGCAAUUGGCGGCCAGCGGGCUUGAGGUGACUGUGGAACGGUUGAAUCGGAGGUUGAAGGAUCUGAGCAAGCAACUGCAGAUUGUGGCAAUGGAGCAGAUAUCGGAAGUGCUCAGGGCGAAUGAGGAUCAAGUGCUGUUGUCGUCGAUGAAAGCGUGUGCAGUGUCCGGGGAUAUUGAUGGAGUUGAGAAGUAUAUGCACAAGUUCCGGGAGCACGCGGAUCACAUGCAAGAGGUAUGCCGCCUCCUGCAUCAUAUCUCAAUCACAGACGCCCUACACGUUCACACCGGGCAUGUCGAGCGGAAUAUGAGAGCCCUCGCCCCAUUGACAAUUCUCGCUGGCCGGACGCUUUGUGUGCACCCAUCUUCGAGGAUAGCCAGGGAGAACUUGGAGGUGUUCUGUGACACCUGGGGGCAGGCGGUGAAUGAUCUCUCGCGUGUCGCCAAAGAAUCCGAUGUCGCCGCAAAUGGAAGAGUUGCUGCUGAAAAGCAGGCGUACAUGUCGCUCCCGCGACCAGGGAAGCACGGAACAACACAGAAGCCGUCAAAGCCGAUUACAUUGGAUGUGGAGGACCAACAAAAAAUGGCGAAAGUCGGAUUAGAGAUGAAGCUUCUUACAUCAGAAGUCGACGCGGAAGCCGAAAAAUGGGAUGAGUAUGCCGAGAAUGACAUAGUGAAACGGGCCAAAGCAAUGUCAUCGAUGGCCUAUAAUAUGUACUUAUUUACACGUGGAGAUGGUCCUCUGAAGACGACACACGACCUCUUCACCCAGGCGGAGUUCUUUGCCGAGCAGGCGAAUCAGAUGUAUCGGACAGUUCGAGAGUUCUCAUAUGAAGUUCCGGGCUCUGCGGAAAAAUCCGAUUUGUCAGCGAUUCUUGAGAGGAUCCCACUUCACUGCCAACAGCUACAGGUUAUGGUUAAGAGUCCGACCGUCGGAAAAACUGCGACUUUCGGGAAAGUGGAUUCGGUGAUUCAGGAGACCAAGAAUUUGAUGAACGAAAUCGCGAAGCUGGUCACUGCGUCGUUUGUGUGUGCCACGAAGUAUGAAAUCGAGUUUCGCGGAGGUUCUGUCAAUGGGCGGACGGGUGCCGACGGUGAAAGGACAAGUCGCGAAUCGACUGUUUGGCGCCGGACACCAAGCAUCCGACGAGCCGCGCCGCCGACCUCUUCGCACCUUUCCGCCAACAACUCAUCAAGCAUACACAUUUAGUAGUACAAUUGCGAGCUGACGUCAUCACCGUUCCGCGGCCGCCCACAGGAUCUCUCCCAUUUUGUUUUUCAGAGCCCUAUAUUUUCUUUCAUUUCUUCAGUUUUUUUGCCACGUUUCUUCCUCUCUCUCUCUCUCAUCUUUCCAUGUCAUACCAUUUGCCCAAACCUCGCGAAUAUUCAAAAUGA
Molecule: unclassified non-coding RNA, 2540 nt
Filed under: Caenorhabditis elegans
Lineage: Eukaryota; Metazoa; Nematoda; Chromadorea; Rhabditida; Rhabditidae
Description: Non-coding transcript of protein-coding gene ctn-1
Source: RNAcentral